Molecule: ribosomal RNA, 250 nt
Filed under: uncultured bacterium
Lineage: Bacteria
Description: partial 16S ribosomal RNA
Rfam family: Bacterial small subunit ribosomal RNA
Source: RNAcentral
GACGAACGCUGGCGGCGUGCUUUAUACAUGCAAGUCGAACGAUGAAGUUCCUUCGGGAAUGGAUUAGUGGCGAACGGGUGAGGAACACGUGAGGAAUCUGCCCAUCAUUUUGGGAUAACACCGGGAAACCGGUGCUAAUACCGAAUACUCCGUCUUGGCGGCAUCGCCGAGCCGGGAAAGAAUUUCGAUGAUGGAUGAUCUCGCGGCCUAUCAGCUAGUUGGUGAGGUAACGGCUCACCAAGGCAACGAC